GGGUUGUGAGGUUAAGCGACUAAGCGUACACGGUGGAUGCCUAGGCAGUCAGAGGCGAUGAAGGGCGUGCUAAUCUGCGAAAAGCGUCGGUAAGCUGAUAUGAAGCGUUAUAACCGACGAUACCCGAAUGGGGAAACCCAGUGCAAUACGUUGCACUAUCGUUAGAUGAAUACAUAGUCUAACGAGGCGAACCGGGGGAACUGAAACAUCUAAGUACCCCGAGGAAAAGAAAUCAACCGAGAUUCCCCCAGUAGCGGCGAGCGAACGGGGAGGAGCCCAGAGUCUGAAUCAGUUUGUGUGUUAGUGGAAGCGUCUGGAAAGUCGCACGGUACAGGGUGAUAGUCCCGUACACCAAAAUGCACAGGCUGUGAACUCGAUGAGUAGGGCGGGACACGUGACAUCCUGUCUGAAUAUGGGGGGACCAUCCUCCAAGGCUAAAUACUCCUGACUGACCGAUAGUGAACCAGUACCGUGAGGGAAAGGCGAAAAGAACCCCGGCGAGGGGAGUGAAAUAGAACCUGAAACCGUGUACGUACAAGCAGUGGGAGCACCUUCGUGGUGUGACUGCGUACCUUUUGUAUAAUGGGUCAGCGACUUAUAUUUUGUAGCAAGGUUAACCGAAUAGGGGAGCCGUAGGGAAACCGAGUCUUAACUGGGCGUCUAGUUGCAAGGUAUAGACCCGAAACCCGGUGAUCUAGCCAUGGGCAGGUUGAAGGUUGGGUAACACUAACUGGAGGACCGAACCGACUAAUGUUGAAAAAUUAGCGGAUGACUUGUGGCUGGGGGUGAAAGGCCAAUCAAACCGGGAGAUAGCUGGUUCUCCCCGAAAGCUAUUUAGGUAGCGCCUCGUGAACUCAUCUUCGGGGGUAGAGCACUGUUUCGGCUAGGGGGCCAUCCCGGCUUACCAAACCGAUGCAAACUCCGAAUACCGAAGAAUGUUAUCACGGGAGACACACGGCGGGUGCUAACGUCCGUCGUGAAGAGGGAAACAACCCAGACCGCCAGCUAAGGUCCCAAAGUCAUGGUUAAGUGGGAAACGAUGUGGGAAGGCACAGACAGCCAGGAUGUUGGCUUAGAAGCAGCCAUCAUUUAAAGAAAGCGUAAUAGCUCACUGGUCGAGUCGGCCUGCGCGGAAGAUGUAACGGGGCUAAACCAUGCACCGAAGCUGCGGCAGCGACACUUAGGUGUUGUUGGGUAGGGGAGCGUUCUGUAAGCCGUUGAAGGUGACCUGUGAGGGUUGCUGGAGGUAUCAGAAGUGCGAAUGCUGACAUAAGUAACGAUAAUGCGGGUGAAAAACCCGCACGCCGGAAGACCAAGGGUUCCUGUCCAACGUUAAUCGGGGCAGGGUGAGUCGACCCCUAAGGCGAGGCUGAAAAGCGUAGUCGAUGGGAAACAGGUUAAUAUUCCUGUACUUGGUGUUACUGCGAAGGGGGGACGGAGAAGGCUAGGCUGGCCGGGCGACGGUUGUCCCGGUUUAAGCGUGUAGGGGGAGUGACCAGGUAAAUCCGGUUGCUUAUCAACCCUGAGGCGUGAUGACGAUGCACUACGGUGCAGAAGCAGUUGAUGCCAUGCUUCCAGGAAAAGCCUCUAAGCAUCAGGUAACAUUAAAUCGUACCCCAAACCGACACAGGUGGUCAGGUAGAGAAUACUCAGGCGCUUGAGAGAACUCGGGUGAAGGAACUAGGCAAAAUGGUGCCGUAACUUCGGGAGAAGGCACGCUGGCGUUAGGUGAAAGGACUAGCUCCUAGAGCUGAAGCCAGUCGCAGAUACCAGCUGGCUGCAACUGUUUAAUAAAAACACAGCACUGUGCAAACACGAAAGUGGACGUAUACGGUGUGACGCCUGCCCGGUGCUGGAAGGUUAAUUGAUGGGGUCAGCCGCAAGGCGAAGCUCUUGAUCGAAGCCCCAGUAAACGGCGGCCGUAACUAUAACGGUCCUAAGGUAGCGAAAUUCCUUGUCGGGUAAGUUCCGACCUGCACGAAUGGCGUAAUGAUGGCCAGGCUGUCUCCACCCGAGACUCAGUGAAAUUGAACUCGCUGUGAAGAUGCAGUGUACCCGCGGCAAGACGGAAAGACCCCGUGAACCUUUACUAUAGCUUGACACUGAACAUUGAGCCUUGAUGUGUAGGAUAGGUGGGAGGCCUUGAAGUGUGGACGCCAGUCUGCAUGGAGCCAACCUUGAAAUACCACCCUUUAAUGUUUGAUGUUCUAACUCGGCCCCAUGAUCUGGGGUGAGGACAGUGUCUGGUGGGUAGUUUGACUGGGGCGGUCUCCUCCCAAAGAGUAACGGAGGAGCACGAAGGUUAGCUAAUCACGGUCGGACAUCGUGAGGUUAGUGCAAAGGCAUAAGCUAGCUUGACUGCGAGAGUGACGGCUCGAGCAGGUACGAAAGUAGGUCUUAGUGAUCCGGUGGUUCUGAAUGGAAGGGCCAUCGCUCAACGGAUAAAAGGUACUCCGGGGAUAACAGGCUGAUACCGCCCAAGAGUUCAUAUCGACGGCGGUGUUUGGCACCUCGAUGUCGGCUCAUCACAUCCUGGGGCUGAAGUAGGUCCCAAGGGUAUGGCUGUUCGCCAUUUAAAGUGGUACGCGAGCUGGGUUUAGAACGUCGUGAGACAGUUCGGUCCCUAUCUGCCGUGGGCGUUGGAAGAUUGAGAGGGGCUGCUCCUAGUACGAGAGGACCGGAGUGGACGAAUCACUGGUGUUCGGGUUGUCAUGCCAAUGGCAUUGCCCGGUAGCUAAAUUCGGAAGAGAUAACCGCUGAAAGCAUCUAAGCGGGAAACUUGCCUCGAGAUGAGUCUUCCCUGGGGCUUAAAGCCCCCUGAAGGAACGUUAAAGACUAUGACGUUGAUAGGCUGGGUGUGUAAGUGCAGCGAUGUAUUGAGCUAACCAGUACUAAUGAUCCGUGAGGCUUAACCUUACAACACCGAAGGUGUUU
RNAcentral lists this ribosomal RNA (2934 nucleotides) under Yersinia pseudotuberculosis. Its description in RNAcentral is "23S ribosomal RNA". It matches the Rfam family "Bacterial large subunit ribosomal RNA". Lineage: Bacteria; Pseudomonadati; Pseudomonadota; Gammaproteobacteria; Enterobacterales; Yersiniaceae. The record is from RNAcentral.